CUGGUGGCGAGUGGCGAACGGGUGAGUAAUAUAUCGGAACGUGCCCUGGAGUGGGGGAUAACUAGUCGAAAGACUAGCUAAUACCGCAUACGAUCUACGGAUGAAAGUGGGGGAUCGCAAGACCUCAUGCACGUGGAGCGGCCGAUAUCUGAUUAGCUAGUUGGUGGGGUAAAAGCCUACCAAGGCAUCGAUCAGUAGCUGGUCUGAGAGGACGACCAGCCACACUGGGACUGAGACACGGCCCAGACUCCUACGGGAGGCAGCAGUGGGGAAUUUUGGACAAUGGGGGCAACCCUGAUCCAGCAAUGCCGCGUGAGUGAAGAAGGCCUUCGGGUUGUAAAGCUCUUUUGUCAGGGAAGAAACGGUCUGGGCUAAUACCCUGGGCUAAUGACGGUACCUGAAGAAUAAGCACCGGCUAACUACGUGCCAGCAGCCGCGGUAAUACGUAGGGUGCAAGCGUUAAUCGGAAUUACUGGGCGUAAAGCGUGCGCAGGCGGUUGUGCAAGACAGAUGUGAAAUCCCCGGGCUUAACCUGGGAAUUGCAUUUGUGACUGCACGGCUAGAGUGUGUCAGAGGGGGGUAGAAUUCCACGUGUAGCAGUGAAAUGCGUAGAGAUGUGGAGGAAUACCGAUGGCGAAGGCAGCCCUCUGGGAUAACACUGACGCCCAUGCACGA
This 675-nucleotide ribosomal RNA is filed under the name uncultured beta proteobacterium. Its description in RNAcentral is "bacterial SSU rRNA". It matches the Rfam family "Bacterial small subunit ribosomal RNA", at positions 85 to 756 of the family's 1533-position model. Lineage: Bacteria; Pseudomonadati; Pseudomonadota; Betaproteobacteria. The record is from RNAcentral.